GAAAUGCGAUAAGUAAUGUGAAUUGCAGAAUUCCGUGAAUCAUCGAAUCUUUGAAAGCACAUUGCGCCCUCUGGCAUUCCGGGGGGCAUGCCUGUCCGAGCGUCAUUACGCACCCUCAAGCCCGGCUUGUGUGAUGGGCCCCGGCGUCUCGUUCGCGAGACGGGCCCGAAAGGCAGCGGCGGCGUCGACCCGAUGAGCCCGAGCGUAUGGGGACUUCUGUCACACGUUCGCGGUGCGGACCGGCGCCUGCUUGACUUUUCUGAUUAUCCAGGUUGACCUCGGAUCAGGUAGGGAUACCCGCUGAACUUAAGC
This 312-nucleotide unclassified non-coding RNA is filed under the name plant metagenome. Its description in RNAcentral is "partial contains 5.8S ribosomal RNA, internal transcribed spacer 2, and large subunit ribosomal RNA". The stretch from base 1 to 105 matches the Rfam family "5.8S ribosomal RNA", at positions 50 to 154 of the family's 154-position model. The record is from RNAcentral.